Long non-coding RNA from Triplophysa dalaica, 429 nucleotides. RefSeq lists it as uncharacterized. The transcript has 3 exons. NCBI's taxonomy places the organism in Eukaryota, Metazoa, Chordata, Actinopteri, Cypriniformes, Nemacheilidae. The record is from RefSeq and is a predicted model, not a curated record.
AUGCAUUUAUGGUGAAAUUCAUUAUGAGGGGUGGUGGUCAACUUAAAAAGGAGCCAUUCAAAGCUAUACUAUGUAAUUCAAGGUAAUUUUGGCCUUAUGACAUUGCAAAAAUCUCUUGUUCCUUGUCUAUUUUUUCAUUUAUGUAAUUUUUAUUUUCUCUAUUUAGUGGACUUCUCUGUAAGAACAUCAGACUCUUCAUAGAAGAUGAAGACUUGCCAUGAUCAAGAAUACCAGCUAUUUGCUGAAGUUCAUCUUUCAAAACGAACAGCAUGGAGUACAGUACUCAUCAGAUGCUGUGAACAGGUGUAGCCCAAAUGCAACAGAUUCAGACUUUGAUGCAGCAAUGGCAGAUCACCUGAAGCACACUGGGGUUGAUGGAUACUUGUUUUAUGGCUGUUUUAACAGUAAUACAAGACUGUUAGGAAAUAA